GAUGAACGCUGGCGGCGUGCCUAAUACAUGCAAGUCGAGCGAACAGACGAGGAGCUUGCUCCUCUGACGUUAGCGGCGGACGGGUGAGUAACACGUGGAUAACCUACCUAUAAGACUGGGAUAACUUCGGGAAACCGGAGCUAAUACCGGAUAAUAUAUUGAACCGCAUGGUUCAAUAGUGAAAGACGGUUUUGCUGUCACUUAUAGAUGGAUCCGCGCCGCAUUAGCUAGUUGGUAAGGUAACGGCUUACCAAGGCAACGAUGCGUAGCCGACCUGAGAGGGUGAUCGGCCACACUGGAACUGAGACACGGUCCAGACUCCUACGGGAGGCAGCAGUAGGGAAUCUUCCGCAAUGGGCGAAAGCCUGACGGAGCAACGCCGCGUGAGUGAUGAAGGUCUUCGGAGCGUAAAACUCUGUUAUUAGGGAAGAACAAAUGUGUAAGUAACUAUGCACGUCUUGACGGUACCUAAUCAGAAAGCCACGGCUAACUACGU
RNAcentral lists this ribosomal RNA (496 nucleotides) under uncultured bacterium. RNAcentral describes it as "partial 16S ribosomal RNA". It matches the Rfam family "Bacterial small subunit ribosomal RNA", at positions 28 to 506 of the family's 1533-position model. The record is from RNAcentral.